This 637-nucleotide ribosomal RNA is filed under the name bacterium T288. RNAcentral describes it as "bacterial SSU rRNA". It matches the Rfam family "Bacterial small subunit ribosomal RNA", at positions 74 to 725 of the family's 1533-position model. The record is from RNAcentral.
GCCCCUUCGGGGGUACACGACCGGCAAACGGGUGAGUAACACGUGAGUAACCUGCCCCAUUCUUCGGAAUAACCAGUGGAAACGCUGGCUAAUGCCGAAUAUGACCAUCGAAGGCAUCUUCUGGUGGUGGAAAGCUCCGGCGGAGUGGGAUGGACUCCCGGCCUAUCAUCUUGUUGGUGAGGUAACGGCUCACCAAGGCGACGACGGGUAGCCGGCCUGAGAGGGUGACCGGCCACACUGGGACUGAUACACGGCCCACACUCCUACGGGAGGCAGCAGUGGGGAAUAUUGGACAAUGGGCGAAAGCCUGAUCCAGCAACGCCGCGUGAGGGAUGACGGCCUUCGGGUUGUAAACCUCUUUCAGCAGGGACGAAGCGAAAGUGACGGUACCUGCAGAAGAAGGACCGGCCAAUUACGUGCCAGCAGCCGCGGUAAUACGUAGGGUCCGAGCGUUGUCCGGAAUUAUUGGGCGUAAAGGGCUCGUAGGCGGUUUGUCGCGUCGGGAGUGAAAACUCAGGGCUCAACCCUGAGCGUGCUUACGAUACGGGCAAACUAGAGGUAUGCAGGGGAGAACGGAAUUCCUGGUGUAGCGGUGGAAUGCGCAGAUAUCAGGAGGAACACCGGUGGCGAAGGCGGU